AUCGUAACUCCUACGGGAGGCAGCAGUGGGGAAUUUUGGGCAAUGGGGGCAACCCUGAUCCAGCAAUGCCGCGUGAGUGAAGAAGGCCUUCGGGUUGUAAAGCUCUUUUGUCAGGGAAGAAACGGUAGUAGCUAAUAUCUAUUACUAAUGACGGUACCUGAAGAAUAAGCACCGGCUAACUACGUGCCAGCAGCCGCGGUAAUACGUAGGGUGCAAGCGUUAAUCGGAAUUACUGGGCGUAAAGCGUGCGCAGGCGGUUGUGUAAGUCAGAUGUGAAACCCCCCGGCUCAACCUGGGAAGUGCAUUUGAAACUGCACGGCUAGAGUGUGUAAGAGGGGGGUAGAAUUCCACGUGUAGCAGUGAAAUGCGUAGAUAUGUGGAGGAAUACCGAUGGCGAAGGCAGCCCCCUGGGAUAACACUGACGCUCAUGCACGAAAGCGUGGGGAGCAAACAGGAUUAGAAACCCGAGUAGUCCUAGAGC
This 481-nucleotide ribosomal RNA is filed under the name uncultured bacterium. Its description in RNAcentral is "bacterial SSU rRNA". It matches the Rfam family "Bacterial small subunit ribosomal RNA", at positions 329 to 802 of the family's 1533-position model. The record is from RNAcentral.